AGCACAUUUUCUAAUCUCAAAAAAAUGAUUUGUCACGUCAAUAACAACAGGCAGUGGGCACAAACAAGGUUCUUUUUUUCUUUUCUUUUUUUGUUUAAAGGUUUAAGACGUGAGAAAAAGCGUUUUGACAAUAUUUUCCACAAUCCGAAAAAUAUACUUGUGCUGAUUUUCUUAAAACAUUAUGUAUCAAACACUAAUAAUAUAGGGAAUUGUUGAGAAGAAAUAUUCUUGCUUAUCCCAAAUAAAUAGUAAAGUAAUUGACUAAGGAAUCCCGCGGGCUAGCUUGUUUGGCUGAAAUUGGUUUUGGGCGAACAGAGCAUAUUAGAAUAUUCUUCUCGUAUAUUACCUCUUUGGCCCAACUCCUAUGUAUAAAUAUAUCCUUUAUUUUUUUUCCACAAACAAAAACACACACCUCUCAUCCUUCAUGUUGGUGCUAGCUCAGCUGCAGCACCUCCGCCGGCGCCACCCAGCCCUUCCCAGUGAAAUGGCUCAUUAAGCUCACAUAAUGUAAUCAACAACCCGAUCAGCUCCAUUUGUUGAGUUGCUGACAAAUUUUCACAUUUGAAGGUGUUUUCACAGUCAAGAAAAGAGAGGCAGAAGAAAGACAAACGAGAGAAAGCUAUUAUACUUCAAACAGAGAGUGUUUGAACUUCAAGACCUGUACACUAAUGUCGCCUUUCAGUUUUCAAACAUUUCUAUAAGGACCAUAUAUUAUCAAAAAAGCUAGAGUGCAGUUUGUCAGCCUCAAGCUAUUGCCAGAAGAUCCAAGUGCUAAUUUUCAUAUAUUGCAAGAUGUACUGGUGCGGAUGUUGAACUAAACACAUUGGAAUAUGUUUUAUCGUAUAA
Salvia miltiorrhiza (redroot sage) is the source of this 846-nucleotide long non-coding RNA. RefSeq lists it as uncharacterized. NCBI's taxonomy places the organism in Eukaryota, Viridiplantae, Streptophyta, Magnoliopsida, Lamiales, Lamiaceae. The transcript has 2 exons. The record is from RefSeq and is a predicted model, not a curated record.